RNAcentral lists this ribosomal RNA (497 nucleotides) under uncultured bacterium. Its description in RNAcentral is "partial 16S ribosomal RNA". It matches the Rfam family "Bacterial small subunit ribosomal RNA", at positions 30 to 523 of the family's 1533-position model. The record is from RNAcentral.
AUUGAACGCUGGCGGCAUGCUUUACACAUGCAAGUCGAACGGUAACAGGUCUUCGGAUGCUGACGAGUGGCGAACGGGUGAGUAAUACAUCGGAACGUGCCUAGUAGUGGGGGAUAACUACUCGAAAGAGUAGCUAAUACCGCAUGAGAUCUACGGAUGAAAGCAGGGGACCUUCGGGCCUUGUGCUACUAGAGCGGCUGAUGGCAGAUCAGGUAGUUGGUGGGGUAAAGGCUACCAAGCCUGCGAUCUGUAGCUGGUCUGAGAGGACGACCAGCCACACUGGGACUGAGACACGGCCCAGACUCCUACGGGAGGCAGCAGUGGGGAAUUUUGGACAAUGGGCGAAAGCCUGAUCCAGCCAUGCCGCGUGCAGGAUGAAGGCCUUCGGGUUGUAAACUGCUUUUGUACGGAACGAAAAGGUUUGGCCUAAUAAGCUGAGCUCAUGACGGUACCGUAAGAAUAAGCACCGGCUAACUACGUGCCAGCCGCCGCCGUAA